Long non-coding RNA from Mercenaria mercenaria, 465 nucleotides. RefSeq lists it as uncharacterized. Lineage: Eukaryota; Metazoa; Mollusca; Bivalvia; Venerida; Veneridae. The transcript is spliced from 4 exons. The record is from RefSeq and is a predicted model, not a curated record.
UGAACGUCCAAUUGGGGAGUCCAACUUGCGGGAGAAGAAAAUCCAAGAGCAGAUCUUUUUUGAAUUUCUUUUUCUUUUUGCUGACUGUAGACCAAGCCUGGACAGGUGUGAAAUGGUCAGAAGUGGACAGUCAGAGGUGUGAAAGAUGGUCACUACACUGUCAUAUUGAAGGGUCAUUUCAACCACUGGACAUAUUUGUAAGAGCACUUGAAAAUAAUGUCAUGCCUUUGACAAUGGUAGCAAAAAAUGUGAAGCCUUCAGAAGGGUCAGGGAUGAAAGUGUUGGAAAUCAUGACAGUACAUGAAAUUAGUUUUUAAGAAAGUUUAAAGACAAGACUUAUCAGCAGUUCCAAAAAUUGAGAAAACACAUGGGGUGGCGGAAUGUUGCAAUGCUAGGAUGACAGCCUUUGAAUGACUUUAGAGGCAUUUUGUCCAGCGGAACUUUGAAAUUAUUAUAUGCUCAAAG